AGAGAGAGAGAGAAUUAUGUAGAAUUUUAUAUCAAUUAGUUUUUUUCAAAGCAAUCUCAUUAUAUACAUAUACAAGAAAGUUUCUAACAUAUGUUUGGUUAAGUGUGUUACAGCAGUGUAUCUAAGAAUCUAACAGGUUGCUAGGUGAUAAGAAGCUAGUGUCAUUCACUGCAUCAGAAUUCCAAAUGUUUCCAUACAGAGAAGAUUCCAGGAAAUGGUUGCUUAGCAGGAUUGCUGAUGAGAAGGGCUCUCAAGAUUUGAAGACAGACAAGAGUGACAAGGGGGUGUUGUGUUUGGGUCAUGAUUGAGGACAAUGUCCCGUCCAGAGGCAAGCUGUUUCUUGUUGAGGUUUUUUCAUGCCGACCAUCGAAAAUACCCUCUCGGCAUUUGCAUUAGAAUGAGGAAUCACUAAAACCAAGACUACUUGUUCUGGAACAGGUGUUGUCAGUGACCCGGGGCCCCCUGGCACCAUCUCAGGGCCCCCAGUUUGAGAACCACUGGCCUAGGCUACUUGUUCUGAGCAGGUGUUGUUAGUGAACAGGAUGUAAAACUGUUGGCUAAGUUACAGACACUCAUGAAAAACUCCUGCUGAUUAUCUGGUGAACAGUCUCUAACAGCAGUCACAAUGUCAUUGUUUGUGUCAAACAAGUUGUGAAUUUGUUGUAACAUUAAAACAGGAGAUCAUGACUUACUCUGUGCUCAAAGUGAUGCUCACAGCUCCAGUGGUUU
Molecule: long non-coding RNA, 729 nt
Organism: Tachysurus fulvidraco (yellow catfish)
Lineage: Eukaryota; Metazoa; Chordata; Actinopteri; Siluriformes; Bagridae
Exons: 3
Source: RefSeq, a predicted model, not a curated record